Non-coding RNA from Podila verticillata NRRL 6337, 74 nucleotides. The record is from the annotation of a GenBank genome assembly. Lineage: Eukaryota; Fungi; Mortierellomycota; Mortierellomycetes; Mortierellales; Mortierellaceae.
GAGAAUGUAAUUCAAUUGGCUAGAAUAGUAAGCUUUUAUCUUAUCUUAUCAGAGUUCGAGUCUCUGCGUUCUCA